UUAAGUUGGGGCAAAUGGCUAUAGUGCAGAGUAAUGCCAUCACUGGGCACUGCGAAUGCCAUGACUGAAGAAUUAACAGCCACCCCUCAGGCGCAGGACCAGCUGCUUGCCUGCAAAGAUGAGCCUCUGCUGGUCGGGGGGGAUGCCUUCUUUAUCUUGGAUCUUGGCCUUCACAUUUUCGAUGGUGUCACUGGGCUCCACCUCCAGAGUGAUGGUCUUGCCGGUCAGGGUCUUCACGAAGAUCUGCAUACCACCUCUCAGACGCAGGACCAGGUGCAGGGUCGACUCCUUCUGGAUGUUGUAGUCAGAAAGAGUGCGGCCAUCUUCCAGCUGCUUGCCUGCAAAGAUGAGCCUCUGCUGGUCGGGAGGGAUGCCUUCUUUAUCCUGGAUCUUGGCCUUCACAUUUUCGAUGGUGUCACUGGGCUCCACUUCCAGGGUGAUGGUCUUGCCGGUCAGGGUCU
Molecule: long non-coding RNA, 461 nt
Filed under: Homo sapiens (human)
Lineage: Eukaryota; Metazoa; Chordata; Mammalia; Primates; Hominidae
Description: UBB antisense RNA 1 (UBB-AS1)
Source: RNAcentral